CAUCAUUGCUAUAUUCCGUUGCAAGCCAACUGGCUCAUAUAGGUGGAUAUUUAAUUUGAUCCAUGGUACUGCUAUUGGUUUCUUGGCUGAGAUACUAGCCUUGGUUAAUGUUGGUUUGGGUAUUGCUUUAUUUGAGUCUGGUUGUGGUGGUACAAACUCUUUCACUCUCCUCUGGGUCUACAUUGUGUUUGUUAUAUUGCUGGUCAUUAUAUGACCAUUGUAUUU
Molecule: long non-coding RNA, 225 nt
Organism: Amphimedon queenslandica
Lineage: Eukaryota; Metazoa; Porifera; Demospongiae; Haplosclerida; Niphatidae
Exons: 3
Source: RefSeq, a predicted model, not a curated record